ACAUAACUGAUGCCUCCGCGUAUCGACUUUGUGCGCAUUUUAGCUAUUAUGUGUUCUUUUAAUUAAAAUGAUUCUUUUUAAGAUUCAUCUAUUAAAAAUUUGCUUCGGCAUAAUUUUUUUUGAUGAUCUUGUUACUUUGAGUAAAUUAGAGUGUUCAAAGCAAACAGAUAUAGCAUUUGUGCGUUUGAAUACUACAGCAUGGAAUAACAAAAUUGAACAAGUCAGAAUUUUUUUGUUCUUUUUUCUUAUUUUGGCUUAGUUACGAUUAAUAGGAGUAGCUUGGGGGCAUUUGUAUUCAGAUGUCAGAGGUGAAAUUCUUAGAUUUUCUGGAGACAAACAACUGCGAAAGCAUUUGCCUAAAAUACUUCCAUUAAUCAAGAACGAAAGUUAAGGGAGUGAAGACGAUCAGAUACCGUCGUAAUCUUAACCAUAAACUAUGCCGACUAGGCUUUGGAUGAAAGAUUUUAAAAUAAGAGUUUUUCUUUUCUCUCCGGAGAUUAGAACUCUUAGAUUGCUUCCUUCAGUGCCUUAUGAGAAAUCAAAGUCUUUGGGUUCCGGGGCGAGUAUUCGCGCAAGCGAGAAAGUUAAAAGAAUUGACGGAAGGGCACCACCAGGCGUGGAGCUUGCGGCUUAAUUUGACUCAACACGGGAAAACUCACUAGUUUAAGACAAGAGUAGGAUUGACAGAUUAAUAGCUCUUUCUUGAUUUCUUGGAUGGUGAUGCAUGGCCGUUUUUAGUUCGUGAAUAUGAUUUGUCUGGUUAAUUCCGAUAACGAACGAGAUCUUAACCUGCUAAUUAGCGGCAAAUACGAUAUAUUCUUAUGUAGAAUUGAAUAUAGUGGAUUUGUUAGAUUUUGAAGAAAAUAUUGGAAUUACGUUAAAUGUGAUUCCUUUCCCUUUUCUACUUAAUUUACAUUUCCAUCUAUUUCUUUUUUGCGUAUGAAUGUAUUUGCUUGAUUGUAAAGCUUCUUAGAGGAACGAUGUGUG
This 987-nucleotide ribosomal RNA is filed under the name Plasmodium knowlesi. RNAcentral's name for it is "SSU rRNA". It matches the Rfam family "Eukaryotic small subunit ribosomal RNA", at positions 638 to 1428 of the family's 1831-position model. Lineage: Eukaryota; Apicomplexa; Aconoidasida; Haemosporida; Plasmodiidae. The record is from RNAcentral.